AGCUUGAAGAGAAAUUAUUUUAGGUAAAACCUGCUCGGUGAAAAAUUUUAACAGCUGCGGUACUCUGACCGUACUAAGGUAGCAUAAUCAAUUGGCUUUUAAUUGGGGUCUGGAAUGAACGGGAUAAUAGGAUAUAACUGUUUUAUUUUUUGUAAAUUGAAUUUACUAUUUAAGUGAAAAAGCUUAGAUAAUGAAAAAAGACGAGAAGACCCUUGGAAUUUAAUUUUUGUUGGGGCAACAAAGGAAUUAAAUAAUAUCCUUAUGAAAAGUAAAGUAUGACGAUAGUUUAUAAGACUGAAAAAAUUACCCAAGGGAUAACAGCAUAAUUUUUAUUAAAAGUUUGUGACCUCGAUGUUGGACUAGGUAAUAAAUUGGUUAGUCACUAUUUUAUUUAGCUCUGUUCGAGCUUUUAACCU
RNAcentral lists this ribosomal RNA (416 nucleotides) under Runcina ferruginea. RNAcentral's name for it is "partial large subunit ribosomal RNA". It matches the Rfam family "Archaeal large subunit ribosomal RNA", at positions 1920 to 2666 of the family's 2987-position model. The record is from RNAcentral. Lineage: Eukaryota; Metazoa; Mollusca; Gastropoda; Runcinacea; Runcinidae.